This 58-nucleotide transfer RNA is filed under the name Loxodonta africana (African savanna elephant). It matches the Rfam family "tRNA", at positions 8 to 63 of the family's 71-position model. From Rfam's summary of the family: Transfer RNA (tRNA) molecules are approximately 80 nucleotides in length. Their secondary structure includes four short double-helical elements and three loops (D, anti-codon, and T loops). Lineage: Eukaryota; Metazoa; Chordata; Mammalia; Proboscidea; Elephantidae. The record is from Rfam by way of RNAcentral.
UGGCUCAGUGGUUAAAGCACUUGGCUACUAACCGAAAGGUUGGUGGUUCAAACCCUCC